RNAcentral lists this unclassified non-coding RNA (177 nucleotides) under Ophiostoma ips. RNAcentral's name for it is "internal trancribed spacer 1". Lineage: Eukaryota; Fungi; Ascomycota; Sordariomycetes; Ophiostomatales; Ophiostomataceae. The record is from RNAcentral.
GCGAGUUCAAAAAACUCCCAACCCGUGCAUACAUACCGCAUUUCUUGCGACCGUUGCCUCCUGGCGGGCGGCGCGCGCCUCCAGCUCCGGCUGGCGGCGCCCGCCCGCCGGGGGAUAGCGGCCGCUCUUUGAACCUCUGCGUACACUGAGCAGUCUGAGCAAAACCAUGAAUCGUUA